GAUUUCUGGCUUGACGCGCUUGGCCCGCCUCGGUUACGAGUGUGGGAGCCGAUGCGCGUCUGCCAUCCUUCCAGUAAACGGCGUCACCCUUCACUGGGCUGGCGUCGCGAACUGGAUCAAUUACUUUGAAAAAAUUAGAGUGUUUCAAGCAGGCUUUAUGCUAUGAAUACAUUAGCAUGGAAUAAUAAUUUAGGACUUCGGUUCUAUUUUGUUGGUUUCUAGGACUGAAGUAAUGAUUGAUAGGGAUAGUUGGGGGUGCUAGUAUUCAGCGGCCAGAGGUGAAAUUCUCGGAUUCGCUGAAGACUAACUUAUGCGAAAGCAUU
Molecule: ribosomal RNA, 323 nt
Filed under: Filosa sp.
Lineage: Eukaryota; Cercozoa
Description: SSU rRNA
Rfam family: Eukaryotic small subunit ribosomal RNA (bases 105-323)
Source: RNAcentral